Molecule: transfer RNA, 70 nt
Filed under: Loxodonta africana (African savanna elephant)
Lineage: Eukaryota; Metazoa; Chordata; Mammalia; Proboscidea; Elephantidae
Rfam family: tRNA
About the family: Transfer RNA (tRNA) molecules are approximately 80 nucleotides in length. Their secondary structure includes four short double-helical elements and three loops (D, anti-codon, and T loops). Further hydrogen bonds mediate the characteristic L-shaped molecular structure. tRNAs have two regions of fundamental functional importance: the anti-codon, which is responsible for specific mRNA codon recognition, and the 3' end, to which the tRNAs corresponding amino acid is attached (by aminoacyl-tRNA synthetases). tRNAs cope with the degeneracy of the genetic code in two manners: having more than one tRNA (with a specific anti-codon) for a particular amino acid; and 'wobble' base-pairing, i.e. permitting non-standard base-pairing at the 3rd anti-codon position.
Source: Rfam by way of RNAcentral
GCAUUGGUGGUUCAGUGGUAGAAUUCUCACCUUCCAUGUGGGAGACUUGGGUUCGAUUCCUAGCCAUGCA